This 321-nucleotide ribosomal RNA is filed under the name Eocercomonas sp. Its description in RNAcentral is "SSU rRNA". The stretch from base 112 to 321 matches the Rfam family "Eukaryotic small subunit ribosomal RNA", at positions 744 to 955 of the family's 1831-position model. Lineage: Eukaryota; Cercozoa; Cercomonadida; Cercomonadidae. The record is from RNAcentral.
AACUUCUGGCUUGGCGCGCGCGGCCCGGUUCGUUAUCGGACUGUGUGCCGUUGUGCGCCUGCCAUCCUUCUGAAGCGAGGCUGUGCCCUUCACUGGGUUGCAGUCUUGAUUCAGAUCUUUUACUUUGAAAAAAUUAGAGUGUUUAAAGCAGGCUUGCGCUAUGAAUACAUUAGCAUGGAAUAAUAAUUUAGGACUUCUGUUCUAUUUUGUUGGUUUCUAGGAUGGAAGUAAUGAUUGAUAGGGAUAGUUGGGGGUGCUAGUAUUCAGCGGCCAGAGGUGAAAUUCUUGGAUUCGCUGAAGACUAACUUAUGCGAAAGCAUU